RNAcentral lists this long non-coding RNA (5001 nucleotides) under Populus tremula. RNAcentral's name for it is "long non-coding RNA (PTRE_LNC001636)". Lineage: Eukaryota; Viridiplantae; Streptophyta; Magnoliopsida; Malpighiales; Salicaceae. The record is from RNAcentral.
CUUAUGACCGGCACCCUUGUCGACGGUAUGACACUGAGCACACUUGGUCCUAAAGAUCGUCUCUCCGACUUUUGAAUCGCCAGGUGGUGCUUCUGCAAACGAAGCCAUUUCUUCUCUUUGAAUUCUCUUUGCCUUUAGAUCUAGAAGGCGUUGUGAAUUUGAUGUGAUUCAAACAAUUUAUGAAUUCAUUGAUCUAACACCCAACUCACAUUACAUUAGAUUUAUAAUUAAAUUGUUGAAAAACUUGAUACGAUCAAAACUUGAGCUUGUUCUAAUCAAACUUGCCCAAAUCAAAAAAUAAAAAUAAAAAUUAACUUUGACUUGGACGAAAAGAAAAACCAACUUUAGCAUGGAAUCAAAUUGCGAUCACUUUACUUAAAAAAGAAAAAGAAAAAAAUAGGCGUAAUCAUCUUGCUCGAGUUGCUGUACGUGCAUGAUAUGCUCCUUUCUUUAUCCGUUUUUUAUUUUCAAUUUUUUGAACUCAAACAUUUUUAUGUCAUAACCUAAUUUUGGUUUCCCAAAUUUUUUUAAUUUUUCAUGUAGAAAAUGUUCUUUUAAGAAAAAUAUUCCAAUUUUUUAAAAAAAUCAAUAAUAAUAAUAAUAAUAUUUUGGAUCUCAAUUAAGAAGACAUUUUAUUUACAAUGGGUUAGAAUAUUAGGUGUUUGAAUAAUUUAUGGUCUCACUAAAGAAAUUUUAAAAUAUAUAUUGAAAUUGAUCAAAGACUGCAAAGUUUAAGGAUCAACAUGGACAAAGUUGUAAAGUUUGGCAGUUCAAUUUUGAUAAAUAAAAACUUAAUUAAGAAGGAAGUUGAAAAUGAUGGCAAAAUCACAAAAAAUGGAAAAGUUAAGUACAUAAUUGAACUUUGGAGGGGCUUGAUUGACUUAACCAGGAGCUAAAAUGAAAACAAAAGUUUAGAAGUCAUUUUAGUCAAAAUUCAAAGGUUCAAUAAGUCUAGGGAUUUAAUUUAGCUUUGGAUUGACUUAAUUAAUUCAACUAGGAAUUUAAUUAGAGAAAAAUUAAAGUUUAGGAGUGAUUUUUGGUCAAGAUUGCAAGAAUUACAGGUCUAGGGUCUAAAAUGAAUAGGAAUCAAAAGAAUUAAAAGUUUAAAGGGCCAAUUAAGAACAAAAUUGAAGAAUAUCAAGACCAAAUACUAUUAUGUAAAAGGCACCAAAGUUUAAGGGCUUAAUUGAAGAAGUCCAAGGGCACAAUAGAAAGAAUCUCAAAUAUUGAAACCAAUUGAGGGUUUGAUUGUGAAAUUACAAGAAAAUAGGGACCAGAAUUGACUUGAAAAAAUCAAAACCCCUAAUUAAUACAGGUUACAAAAACAAUACCGUUGGGAAAAACCUAUGUGUAUUAGGGAGAGACAAAGUCAUUUUAAUUUGUUCAAACAAAAAAAUAAAAUAAAAAAGACAAAAUUAUUUGUCAUUUGACAGACUUCAUUCUUUAUUUCAAACAUGUUAUUCUCUUUUAUUUAGAUGAAUUACUUGACCUACCAUGUAUGGUUGGAAAGUAUGAGAUGUCUAAUUUCUAACUUAUCUUGAACAACAACAAAAUUAUACAUGUAAUUCCAGGUAUAUCCCAAACAGUACAUAGAGAUCUAGUUAACAAAUUUGACAAUAUUUAUCUAGUAACUUUUAUCCUCUAAAAUAAUAAGUUCUGAAUUCCAUUUGACCUGGAAAUUUAUCACAAUAUAGUUUCAUAUGUCUAGUAUCUCCCUAUAAAAUUUCAGUUCGAUCCGAUAUAUAAUUUGAAAAAUGUUUCUAAUCUCACAGAAAUAGUCAUAAAUAUUUUAAAAUCAAAUUCAGACUUAACUUAGUUCGUAUCAUGUAUGGACUUCAUUGAAGAAUUGUCUAAAUCAGAUGGAAAAUAGAUAAUUUUAGUGUUGGUGGAUAGAUUUAGCAAGUACUCUCAUUUUAUGGCUCUAGUUCAUCUUUAUAUGGCUUAUUCAGUGACUAAGGUGUUUAUGGAUAAUGUUUCACAAAUUACAUGGCCUCUCAACUGCUAUUGUAAGUGACAUGGAUCCAAUAUUUGCCGGUCAGUUCUAUAGGCAAUUGUUUAAGCAUUCAGGAGUUAACCUACAUUACUUAACAAUCUAUUACUCUUAGUUUCAUGGCUAGACAAAGGUGGUCAACAAGUGUCUAGAAACCUACUUGCGAUGCAUGACUAACGAACCCUACUCAUUGGUUUAAAUGACUUACCCUACUCAUUGGUUUAAAUGGCUUUUUCUUGCAGAAUGAUGGUAGAACACUAAUUUCUAUUCUUCCACCAAGGCCACUCCUUACGCGGUUCUUUAUUGAUUCUCUCCACCUAUUCAUUGGUUUAUGGAUUGUAGAAUGGUUUAACAAGGAAAUCAAGCAACAAUCCAAGUAUUGAUUCACUAAAGGGUUUGUCUCCGGCAGAUGCAACCCAAGUAUACUCAUCGACGAGUCGCCUCGAUUGCACUCCAUUUCAUUCGUUAAUGUUUUGGUUAUCGAACGAUUUUGAAAGGUUGGCUGUGUGGCGAGCGCAAGAUUAAGAGGGAAGAGGGUGGUUGUUUGGGUGUGCAAGACACGAUGGUGGUGCUUUUGAUAUCACAUUUUCCUUAUAUACUCAAAUUUAGUUUUUUUAUAUCACAUUUCCUUACAUUUCCUUAUAUACUCCAUGUUUUUAGAUUUUUUGGCCACUGCUGAUGUUAAAUAACUAUCCAUCAUUAACCAGAAAGAAGGAAAAAGAGUGAAGUAAUUAACAUCAGAAUUACGUGCCGACAUGAGAAGAAGGCUUGUAGACCGAUCUGAUCUGAAAACGUGUUAUGAAACUAAACAUGGAUAAUCGAAGUAUGAAUGUACGUUUGUUUGCAUAACAGGAAAAAGUGAUCAAUUUUUCUCACAACUUAAACCAUCCAUCGUUAAUAUCAUCCUCUGUCCUUUCUAUUCAGUUCAGGAUUUGAGGACAAGUUUCUCCCUGUAUUACUCUUUCCCCACAAAUGGAGCUGAAAUCAAUUCCAGUUCACUGUGUCAUGGCAACCUUUGAUUACUAGGGAUUAUCAUGGUUUGCAUGUAAGAAAUAUAGAACUCGACAGGAAGGAAAAAUAAAAAUAAACUUGCAUUUCCCGGACAAAGUCACUAGUAAAGGCCACUUUAUCACAUUUAGUGUUCCAGUUCUCAGACUGCAUUUAUCCAACACUGGAAAACGAAAGCAUUCCAGUAAUCACCUGCUAGAGAUGCCAAUACACCAUUUUGCAUUUCAUUCAAAAGUACAUUACCGUAGACCUGCUAUGCAUCAGAGUAUAUUGAAGGCAAGCGAUAGCAACCAUGGAAAUGUUCAUAUGCAAUAUCAUCAAAACCAUAAACUAUCAUUAACAAACUAUUUAUUGGUAAUCCACCAAAUAUUCGCAAAAUCAAGGCCCAGAAAGCUAGAUUCAAUGAAUCGAAUGUUUAGUUUGCCAAUUAUGGCAACUCUUCGAAGGAACAUUGACUAGCAAUGCUCAUUGUAUAGGAUGGUUACUUUAUUGGUAAAAAAAAAAAAUUAUCUCCAACAACUGCAAAAUGGGGAGGCCGGAAGUGUGAAAUGCUUAAGAUGCAGUGGACUGCUUCAAGUAUGCAAUAAGAUCAGCACGCUCCUGUGGCUUCUUCAAUCCAGGGAAAACCAUCUUCGUUCCAGGGAUGUACUGCGUAAACAAUUUUCACUAUGGGUCAGCAACGCAAACUAACAAAAAUAAACAUGGUAUAAGAGACACAAACGCCAGUGCCAAGACAUGAGUUCUUCAUCUGUAUCUAGGAUAGUAAGAUGAUUCUACCUACUAUAAAUGCUAGGCUAUCUUAUCACAUUGAAAUGAAAUGUGAAAGUUCAUUUCAUACACCAUAGGAUAAAUAUCAUCAAUGAUGGGGUCACUUUCCUUGAUUAUUCAACCUUGAUCUCAGAGCAAAGCCUAAACAUAAUAAUCCUACACGCUCCAUGUUCUCUAUUUGCAAGUCCUUCAACUUUUAAGCCAGCCUUCCUAAUUACUAGACCUAGCAUAUUGUCCAGCAUGUUUCUCUUCGUGACCUUGAGUUACCAAAUGCUGAGUAACAAUGUCAUAACUUGAUAGAAAACAACUAAGUUCAGCUAUCAUCACAGAAUUAUCACAAAACUUCAAUGUAUAAACCAUACUUAACCAGUUAAAGACGCACUGUCAAACAUGCCAAGUCAUACUAUGCUUUAGAGUUGAUUAAUACCUUCUUGGGGUUGAGCAAGUAAUCAUACAAAGUCUUCUCCUCCCACGUGACGGCCAUGUUCUUGUUAGCAGCAGAGUAAGAGUAUCCAGCAGUUGUUCCUGACUGCCUUCCAAACAAGCCAUUCAGAUUGGGUCCUGAACAUUUUAACAGUCGAAGCAAAUUAAAACCUUAAGAACACAGGAACCAAGCAAAUAAUUUUAACACAAAUCUCAGAAGAAAUUGACUAUCUAAAAUGUUCACUCGUUAAAUACCAGAUCCCCAAAAAAAAAAAAUAGAAUCCAAAAUUAUAAAUAUCAUCCUAAAACCUUAAAGAAAACACUGAAAGAAACCCACAUAAAUUUAAUAUUUGCUUCAUUAAAUCCAUUUCUAAACUCAGUUCCACCUCUCACCAAAAUCAUGAUUUUCUUGCAAAAACCUUAAACCCAUCAGAGAGAGAGAGAGAGAGAACUCCACAGUUCUGUCCAUCUAAACAGAUUAGAUCUACGAAUUAUUGGGGCUGAAAACAUAAUAAUCAACAAAAUAAAAGACAAUUUGACCUCGAAAAUAGAAGAUCCAAACAAAAAGAGGGGGGCGAUAAAGUUACCUUGCUUAUGACCGGCACCCUUGUCGACGGUAUGACACUGAGCACACUUGGUCUUAAAGACCUUCUCUCCGACUUUUGAAUCGCCAGGUGGUGCUUCUGCAAACGAAGCCAUUUCUUCUCUUUGAAUUCCCUUUGCGUUUUGCUUUCUGCUUUCUAGAAGGCGUUGGAGAGGGAGAGUUUUGGGCUUGUUUUAUAGAAACUAGAAAGGAAAGGGGAGAGUUUUUG